UGGACACCAACAGUUCAGGAAGUUGUUGAUCUUUGAAGCUAUAACUGCUCCGUCGACUUCAACGCCGUGGAAGGACUCACUUGUGAGACUACCUAACCCCGCUGUGUCAACUGUUGCUCCCGAGUCACUGUCUGAGAGAGAUGAUAAUUUCUCCGUUGCUGGAGUCCAGGAGUUAGACAUUAGUGGUCCCGAAGAGACAGCUCUUCAGCAAUUGGAUUCAAGGUAUGGUAAUUAUAAUUAUAAUUUUUUUUCCAUUUAUUUAAAAAAAAUGCACGCUGCUUUACUU
RNAcentral lists this long non-coding RNA (286 nucleotides) under Gouania willdenowi (blunt-snouted clingfish). Its description in RNAcentral is "lncRNA (ENSGWIG00000017509.1)". The record is from RNAcentral. Lineage: Eukaryota; Metazoa; Chordata; Actinopteri; Blenniiformes; Gobiesocidae.